RNAcentral lists this ribosomal RNA (468 nucleotides) under uncultured bacterium. RNAcentral's name for it is "partial 16S ribosomal RNA". The stretch from base 20 to 330 matches the Rfam family "Bacterial small subunit ribosomal RNA", at positions 47 to 358 of the family's 1533-position model. The record is from RNAcentral.
GACGAACGCUGGCGGCGUGCUUAACACAUGCAAGUCGAACGGAAAGGCCCUGCUUUUGUGGGGUGCUCGAGUGGCGAACGGGUGAGUAACACGUGAGUAACCUGCCCUUGACUUUGGGAUAACUUCAGGAAACUGGGGCUAAUACCGGAUAGGAGCUCCUGCUGCAUGGUGGGGGUUGGAAAGUUUCGGCGGUUGGGGAUGGACUCGCGGCUUAUCAGCUUGUUGGUGGGGUAGUGGCUUACCAAGGCUUUGACGGGUAGCCGGCCUGAGAGGGUGACCGGCGGCAGGAGGCCGGAGAGAGGGCGCAGACUCGAACGAGAGACAGGUGGGGGGAGGAUGAGGCAAGGAGCGGAAGUGUAAAGGGGGAGCGAUGGGGGCGGGAGGACGGCCUGAGGGGGGGAAAGAGCAGGGGAGUGAGACGAAGAUGUAGUGAAGGUAACGGGAAAAGAAGCACCGGCGAACGGCGUG